UCAAAAAACAAAAAUAUUAAGAAAAAGGGUCACUGAAGGGAUUUGAUCCAGGGUUUGUGGGUUUAGUACCAAGCUUCCUAACCAAAUACGCUAGCGUCAAAUAACAAUUUAGCUUGCAAAAUUAUGUUUAUCAUAUAUCUGUGGUGUCAAAUGACCCCAUAACUCUUAACGUGGUUCCGCCACUGCCUAUAUGAUAGUAUUAAAUGUCUUGACCUCUUUUAUAUUGUAGUUUCAAAGUAUCAGCUCGGCAUGGACCGUCUCUUGAGCUCGUCAUGGACCGUCUCUUGCGCUCGGCAUGGGCCAUGGAACUUGGUGGGCCCAUUGUCGCCUUAUGGGCUUCAAGGACACUCGUUCGGGUUAUCGGAACACUAAUACAAGAAGUCUCACUACAAAAAAGGGCAUAUUGUUACAAAAAUUUGAGACCAAAACUUUUGGUCACAUAUUUGUGACUAAAUACACACUAAUUUGUGACUAAUAUUAUAUGUCAAGAAAAAGUUGGUAAUUGGUAACAAUAUUGUGACCGGUUUUAUCGUAGCCAACUUUUGUCACAUUUAGUGACAUAAAAAUGACGAAAAUAAACGAGACAAAAUAUGUGACAUAAUUGUGACUAUAUUUAUUGUUAUCAUAGUGACUGAUAUAUGACUAAAUCAUAUGUCUCCAUUUAUAACGAUAGAGAAAUUAAAUGUUCGUGGCAAAUUCAUAUAAAAGAAGGCAACAAAAAUAUUUCUAGACCCCAAAUGAAUUUUUAAACCCUUUCUCUUAACACAAAUCUCAAAACUCUAAUAUUUUCAUAUUUUAACCCCACAUCUUAAAUUUAAAUAUAAAAUUUAGUAUUUUCAAAACCUUUUCUCAUAUUCUGAAAGUAAACCUCAGACACCCAACCCGUAAGUCACAAAAAAUAAACCUUAACCUUUACAUAAAGUUUCAAAAUUACUAUAAUACACCUAAACUAAUAUCCAAUAUUUAUAAAAAAAAUUAUUUUUUUCAAAUCUUAUUUAAAAACCUUAACUUGGUAUUUAAAUUUAAAGUCCAAACCCUUUUCUUCAAACUCCAAACCCUAUAUCAUAAAUUUUAUCUCUAAAUUUGUUUAUUCUUUUUUAGAACUAUACAGAUGUGUACUUUAAAUGAAUUAACUUAGAAUUCUAAUGAAACUUAUAAUAAACAUUAAAAAUUAAAGAAAGAUCAGAAACAAAAACUUCUAUUGUAAGUUUCAGAAAAAAAACAAAUUCUAUCGUUGUAUAGAAGAGAUGUAAUCAACAAUUCUACUGCUGUACAACCAAAUAAAACUUGCCCCGUCAAAAAAAAGCAAAUUUUCUAUUGGCUAAUUCAUAAGCACAAGAACCAAGUUUUUGACCGUCGGAUGAGACCAAAUCAAUGGACCAAAGUUAUUAAUUUUUCACAUCUGCAUAUCUUUUUUUUUACCAAACAGAUCUGCAUAUCUCUCGACAGAUUCUCUUAUUUGAUUUCAUCUCCUAAUCUCUUAAUUCUUAAGAUUUCUUCACUGCGAGCCUCUUCAUUCUCUUAACAAUCUCUGCUCCCAUAUCUCUUCAGCUUCGCUACCGUCUCUGUCAAUGGUCGUUCUUUGAUUUUGGUCCAUGUUAAAGAAUCGAAGGAGUGAAGGAGAACCAGAGGAGGAAGGAGAGAGAAGAGAAGGAAGAAAAUGAGAAGGAUGAACCAGCAUGAGAGGUGCAGACAUGAAGGUGUUCCGGUGUACCGUCACAGCGUCCGUUGUCGCUCCGGCAUGACUGUUCAGAUUAUUUAAGAAGAAAGACGAGGAAGAAGAAGAGUAGGAGGAGACGUAAGAAGAGCGGUUUCUCCUGAUGUCUACUUGUUCACUGCAGUGAUUAACGCAUUUUGCAAGGGAGGGAUGGAAUGAGGAUGAGUGGGAGGUAUGAUGAGGCAUUUAUGUGUAAGGAGCUAUGGCUUUGGAGACAAAGCGUUGAGUUGCUGAGAAGAUGCAUGCUAAUCAAUUAGGUUUAGUUUUUUUUUUUUAAUUUGGUUUAGUUUUAUAAACCAGUUUUAA
This is a long non-coding RNA of Brassica napus (rape), 2023 nucleotides long. RefSeq lists it as uncharacterized. The transcript is spliced from 3 exons. The record is from RefSeq and is a predicted model, not a curated record. Lineage: Eukaryota; Viridiplantae; Streptophyta; Magnoliopsida; Brassicales; Brassicaceae.